This 144-nucleotide ribosomal RNA is filed under the name Klebsiella quasipneumoniae subsp. quasipneumoniae. Its description in RNAcentral is "partial 16S ribosomal RNA". It matches the Rfam family "Bacterial small subunit ribosomal RNA", at positions 1399 to 1533 of the family's 1533-position model. Lineage: Bacteria; Pseudomonadati; Pseudomonadota; Gammaproteobacteria; Enterobacterales; Enterobacteriaceae. The record is from RNAcentral.
ACACCAUGGGAGUGGGUUGCAAAAGAAGUAGGUAGCUUAACCUUCGGGAGGGCGCUUACCACUUUGUGAUUCAUGACUGGGGUGAAGUCGUAACAAGGUAACCGUAGGGGAACCUGCGGUUGGAUCACCUCCUUACCUUAAAGA